GGGAAACAACCCAGACCGCCAGCUAAGGUCCCAAAGUCAUGGUUAAGUGGGAAACGAUGUGGGAAGGCCCAGACAGCCAGGAUGUUGGCUUAGAAGCAGCCAUCAUUUAAAGAAAGCGUAAUAGCUCACUGGUCGAGUCGGCCUGCGCGGAAGAUGUAACGGGGCUAAACCAUGCACCGAAGCUGCGGCAGCGACACUGUGUGUUGUUGGGUAGGGGAGCGUUCUGUAAGCCUGUGAAGGUGGCCUGUGAGGGUUGCUGGAGGUAUCAGAAGUGCGAAUGCUGACAUAAGUAACGAUAAAGCGGGUGAAAAGCCCGCUCGCCGGAAGACCAAGGGUUCCUGUCCAACGUUAAUCGGGGCAGGGUGAGUCGACCCCUAAGGCGAGGCCGAAAGGCGUAGUCGAUGGGAAACGGGUUAAUAUUCCCGUACUUGGUGUUACUGCGAAGGGGGGACGGAGAAGGCUAUGUUGGCCGGGCGACGGUUGUCCCGGUUUAAGCGUGUAGGUGUGUGUUCCAGGUAAAUCCGGUUCACUUUAACACUGAGGCGUGACGACGAGGCACUACGGUGCUGAAGCAACAAAUGCCCUGCUUCCAGGAAAAGCCUCUAAGCAUCAGGUAACAUCAAAUCGUACCCCAAACCGACACAGGUGGUCAGGUAGAGAAUACCAAGGCGCUUGAGAGAACUCGGGUGAAGGAACUAGGCAAAAUGGUGCCGUAACUUCGGGAGAAGGCACGCUGACACGUAGGUGAAGUGAUUUACUCAUGGAGCUGAAGUCAGUCGAAGAUACCAGCUGGCUGCAACUGUUUAUUAAAAACACAGCACUGUGCAAACACGAAAGUGGACGUAUACGGUGUGACGCCUGCCCGGUGCCGGAAGGUUAAUUGAUGGGGUCAGCGCAAGCGAAGCUCCUGAUCGAAGCCCCGGUAAACGGCGGCCGUAACUAUAACGGUCCUAAGGUAGCGAAAUUCCUUGUCGGGUAAGUUCCGACCUGCACGAAUGGCGUAAUGAUGGCCAGGCUGUCUCCACCCGAGACUCAGUGAAAUUGAACUCGCUGUGAAGAUGCAGUGUACCCGCGGCAAGACGGAAAGACCCCGUGAACCUUUACUAUAGCUUGACACUGAACAUUGAGCCUUGAUGUGUAG
RNAcentral lists this ribosomal RNA (1141 nucleotides) under Salmonella enterica subsp. enterica serovar Muenchen. RNAcentral's name for it is "partial 23S ribosomal RNA". It matches the Rfam family "Bacterial large subunit ribosomal RNA", at positions 1017 to 2141 of the family's 2925-position model. Lineage: Bacteria; Pseudomonadati; Pseudomonadota; Gammaproteobacteria; Enterobacterales; Enterobacteriaceae. The record is from RNAcentral.